CAAUAGCGUCUAUUAAAGUUGUUGCAGUUAAAAAGCUCGUAGUUGGAUUUCUGAUCGAGACAUCAGGUCGGGUCCGAGAGGAUCAUGUACUUUGAUUUUGUUUUGAUCAUCCUUGGGGAGAGCAUUUCUGGCAUUCAGUUGUCGGGAUUGGGAUCCUCAUCGUUUACUGUGAAAAAAUUAGAGUGUUCAAAGCAGGCCUCGGCCUCUGAAUACAUUAGCAUGGAAUAAUAAGAUAGGACUUUGGUGGUCUAUUUUGUUGGUUUGCACGCCAAAGUAAUGAUUAAUAGGGAUAGUUGGGGGUAUUCGUAUUCAAUUGUCAGAGGUGAAAUUCUUGGAUUUAUGGAAGACGAACUACUGCGAAAGCAUUUACCAAGGAUGUUUUCAUUAA
Molecule: ribosomal RNA, 388 nt
Filed under: uncultured eukaryote
Lineage: Eukaryota
Description: partial 18S ribosomal RNA
Rfam family: Eukaryotic small subunit ribosomal RNA
Source: RNAcentral